RNAcentral lists this ribosomal RNA (253 nucleotides) under uncultured bacterium. RNAcentral's name for it is "partial 16S ribosomal RNA". It matches the Rfam family "Bacterial small subunit ribosomal RNA", at positions 524 to 776 of the family's 1533-position model. The record is from RNAcentral.
UACGGAGGGUGCGAGCGUUGUCCGGAAUCACUGGGCGUAAAGGGCGCGUAGGCGGUCUGCUAAGCGUGUGGUGAAAGCUCGGGGCUCAACCCCGAGUCUGCCAUGCGAACUGGUGGACUUGAGCACUGUAGAGGCAGGUGGAAUUCCGGGUGUAGCGGUGGAAUGCGUAGAGAUCCGGAAGAACACCAGUGGCGAAGGCGGCCUGCUGGGCAGUUGCUGACGCUGAGGCGCGACAGCGUGGGAAGCAAACAGG